UUCUUCACACAUUCCAAUCAACUUUAAUUUUCUUCUCUGUUCUCUCUCCGUCCCUCCCUCCCUUGACCCUUUUCUUCUCGAUCUGGAGCAAGAAGCAGAAACAACUCGAGUUUCAUCCUCGGUCUCAAUCCAUCGUCUCUUGCUUCCUGAAGAUGUUUCGGCGAGGCCGAUCCCCAUAUCAAGUCACUGUUCUCUUGCAUCAAGCAACCAGAAGAAGAAGAGGCUGACUAGCUCUCUGUCAAAAUUUCACAGGUUUGUAGAGAAAACAACAACCAUGGGUCUAGAAGAAUGCUAUUCACAUCGAUAUUUACUUUAAAGUCAGUGCAAGAGAAUGAUAACUAUAUAUGCUGCAAUGAGAGAAAAGCCCAAAGAUUUUGCAAGUGAAAGCAUAGCAAGAGCUUAAGUUGGUUUGGGUCAAACUGAGAUUUAAGUUGAAAUUUGCUUUGAAUGUGGUAGGCACAUAUGUGCGCCAUGAUUGAACUAUUGUUGCCAUUGCUGAAGAAAGCUACCCCUGAUACACCAGAGUAACAAGCCUCCACAAAGAAGGUUGAACAUGGUAUAUGCAAAAGUAUGGAACAACUGCAAGUUGGAGACCAGUGGAGUGGAGCGGGUCAGCCUAGUUUUUCAACUUUUGGUCUUCCUUUUGGGUACUCUUAUGAUGUAGUGGAACUAAAUGAUGAAACAAUUGUGAUGAUUUCUUAAUGAAACUAGCAGUAUUAUGUCUC
This is a long non-coding RNA of Rosa chinensis, 725 nucleotides long. RefSeq lists it as uncharacterized. NCBI's taxonomy places the organism in Eukaryota, Viridiplantae, Streptophyta, Magnoliopsida, Rosales, Rosaceae. The transcript is spliced from 5 exons. The record is from RefSeq and is a predicted model, not a curated record.